RNAcentral lists this ribosomal RNA (533 nucleotides) under uncultured bacterium. Its description in RNAcentral is "bacterial SSU rRNA". It matches the Rfam family "Bacterial small subunit ribosomal RNA", at positions 977 to 1509 of the family's 1533-position model. The record is from RNAcentral.
GGCCUUGACAUGCUGAGAACUUUCCAGAGAUGGAUUGGUGCCUUCGGGAACUCAGACACAGGUGCUGCAUGGCUGUCGUCAGCUCGUGUCGUGAGAUGUUGGGUUAAGUCCCGUAACGAGCGCAACCCUUGUCCUUAGUUACCAGCACGUAAUGGUGGGCACUCUAAGGAGACUGCCGGUGACGAACCGGAGGAAGGUGGGAAUGACGUCAAGUCAUCAUGGCCCUUACGGCCAGGGCUACACACGUGCUACAAUGGUCGGUACAAAGGGUUGCCAAGCCGCGAGGUGGAGCUAAUCCCAUAAAACCGAUCGUAGUCCGGAUCGCAGUCUGCAACUCGACUGCGUGAAGUCGGAAUCGCUAGUAAUCGUGAAUCAGAAUGUCACGGUGAAUACGUUCCCGGGCCUUGUACACACCGCCCGUCACACCAUGGGAGUGGGUUGCUCCAGAAGUAGCUAGUCUAACCUUCGGGGGGACGGUUACCACGGAGUGAUUCAUGACUGGGGUGAAGUCGUAACAAGGUAAGCGUAGAUGA